RNAcentral lists this ribosomal RNA (161 nucleotides) under Paenibacillus sp. ICGEB2008. RNAcentral describes it as "partial 16S ribosomal RNA". It matches the Rfam family "Bacterial small subunit ribosomal RNA", at positions 1382 to 1533 of the family's 1533-position model. Lineage: Bacteria; Bacillati; Bacillota; Bacilli; Caryophanales; Paenibacillaceae. The record is from RNAcentral.
UGUACACACCACCCGUCACACCACGAGAGUUUACAACACCCGAAGUCGGUGAGGUAACCGCAAGGAGCCAGCCGCCGAAGGUGGGGUAGAUGAUUGGGGUGAAGUCGUAACAAGGUAGCCGUAUCGGAAGGUGCGGCUGGAUCACCUCCUUUCUAUGGAGA